This 355-nucleotide ribosomal RNA is filed under the name Shigella boydii. Its description in RNAcentral is "bacterial SSU rRNA". It matches the Rfam family "Bacterial small subunit ribosomal RNA", at positions 557 to 912 of the family's 1533-position model. The record is from RNAcentral. Lineage: Bacteria; Pseudomonadati; Pseudomonadota; Gammaproteobacteria; Enterobacterales; Enterobacteriaceae.
GGCGUAAGCGCACGCAGGCGGUUUGUUAAGUCAGAUGUGAAAUCCCCGGGCUCAACCUGGGAACUGCAUCUGAUACUGGCAAGCUUGAGUCUCGUAGAGGGGGGUAGAAUUCCAGGUGUAGCGGUGAAAUGCGUAGAGAUCUGGAGGAAUACCGGUGGCGAAGGCGGCCCCCUGGACGAAGACUGACGCUCAGGUGCGAAAGCGUGGGGAGCAAACAGGAUUAGAUACCCUGGUAGUCCACGCCGUAAACGAUGUCGACUUGGAGGUUGUGCCCUUGAGGCGUGGCUUCCGGAGCUAACGCGUUAAGUCGACCGCCUGGGGAGUACGGCCGCAAGGUUAAAACUCAAAUGAAUUG